RNAcentral lists this small RNA (119 nucleotides) under Sinorhizobium saheli. RNAcentral describes it as "Alphaproteobacterial ar14". It matches the Rfam family "Alphaproteobacterial ar14". Rfam says of the family: Smr14C2 was renamed NfeR1 (Nodule Formation Efficiency RNA) highly expressed in salt stress and during the symbiotic interaction on legume roots. Lineage: Bacteria; Pseudomonadati; Pseudomonadota; Alphaproteobacteria; Hyphomicrobiales; Rhizobiaceae. The record is from Rfam by way of RNAcentral.
AGGUAGGGAAGCGAUUCACCUCCUCCCGAACGCUUCGGUUCGACGGGCAGCAUUCUUCUUCCCAAGCUGUCGGUCACUUAUUGAGCCCGGCGCACUUCCUCCCGCGCCGGAUUUUUUUU